RNA transcript from Camponotus floridanus (Florida carpenter ant), 14089 nucleotides. It is a transcript of the gene named probable ubiquitin carboxyl-terminal hydrolase FAF-X, with no coding region annotated. NCBI's taxonomy places the organism in Eukaryota, Metazoa, Arthropoda, Insecta, Hymenoptera, Formicidae. The transcript has 30 exons. The record is from RefSeq and is a predicted model, not a curated record.
AUGACGAUUGCCACUAGGGGCCAGGGAGUUGGCAUAGACCCUCCCGAAAGCCAGCAAAAUACACAAAUGCACAGUCCACCAGGUCCGCAACAAUUGGCUGACACCAUGUCGGGACUUCAACUCACUGAGAAUGUGGUACAAACAGAAUGCAACAAUGACGCUAUUGCUACAGUGGAAGAUAGCAGUCAGCUUCAUGGAGAACCUGAUUUUCCUAUUUCCAAACUUAAUAUGCUUCAUGAAAAGAUAUCUAGUCCACGAUGGGUUGUACCAGUUCUACCCGAACAAGAAUUAGAGUGCCUGUUACAAGCCAGUAUCGAACUUUGUAAAAAAGGAAUUGAUGUACAAAGCGAAGCGUGUCAACGCUUUUUUCGAGAAGGUCUCACAAUCUCAUUUACUAAGAUAUUAACAGAUGAUGCGGUAAACAGUUGGAAAUUAAAUAUUCACAAUUGUAUUAAUGCUAAUUGUGCACGUUUGGUGGAACUAUGUGUCCUAAAAUUAGAUGAAGAUUGGUUUCCUCUACUUGAUUUAUUGGCAAUGGUUUUUAAUCCUAGUAAUAAAUUUCACACAUUUAAUGCAGUAAGAGCUUCUGAAACGGUUCCUCCUGGUAGCGAUAUUCCUGAUGAGGAACUUUAUGCUCGCCCACCACCCGAUUCGCGUAGUCCUCGUGGUUGGCUGGUAGAUCUUAUAAACAGAUUCGGGAGUCUCAAUGGAUUUGAAAUUUUGCUCUCUAGAUUUCAGAGUGGACGUAAUUUAACAGUGCCAGUUAUUUAUGCUUUAAUCAGACCUUUUGGCUUAUGUUAUGAACUAUUGACUGUUCAUACAAUAGUUAAAUAUUUGAUGCCUAUUGUUGAAAUGGUACCUCUUAUUUUGAAUAACUUAACUGAUGAUGAGUUGAAAAAGGAGGCGAAAAACGAAUCAAAAAACGACGCAAUAUCAGCCAUAAUCAAAGCCGCUAAAUGCUUGGUGUCACGAGUACCUCAUCAGGAAGAAAUGAUAAAGAACUUGGAAAUACUGAGACUGAAAAUGAUAUUGAGACUCUUACAAAUUUCUUCUUUUAAUGGGAAGAUGAAUGCUUUAAAUGAAGUUAAUAAAGUAAUAUCUAGUGUUAGUUAUCAUCAACAUCGUAAUACAAUAGUGGAGGAGGAAGAAUGGCUUACAGCAGAGCGUAUGGCAAAAUGGAUUAAAGACAAUGGUGUAUUGGAAAUUGUACUGAGAGAUUCAUUGCAUCAGCCUCAAUAUGUCGAAAAACUGGAGAAAAUUUUACGUUUUAUUAUAAAAGAACGUGCACUUACAUUAGAAGACUUGGAUGCUGUUUGGGCGGCUCAAGCCGGUAAACACGAGGCGAUUGUGAAAAACGUUCAUGAUUUGUUAGCUAAAUUAGCUUGGGAUUUUAGUCCUGAACAACUUGACCAUUUAUUUGAGUGUUUUCAGACAAGUUGGAGGACUGCUAAUAAAAAACAACGGGAAAAAUUAUUAGAAUUGAUUAGGAGACUCGCGGAGGAUGAUAAGGAUGGCGUUAUGGCACAUAAGGUGUUGACACUUUUUUGGACUUUGGCUCAUUCUGAUGAAGUCCCUACAGAAAUUAUGGAUCAGGCGUUGAAUGCUCAUGUAAAGAUUCUUGAUUACUCAUGUUCGCAAGAAAGAGACGCGCAGAAGACAAUCUGGCUGGAUAAGUGUGUUGAAGAAUUGAAAAAUGGCGAUAAGUGGGCUCUUCCUGCAUUAAAGCAAAUUCGUGAAAUAUGUUGCCUUUAUGAACCAAAUCCCAAUUUGGGUCAUAGUCAACGUAGUCAUCAUUUGCAUUACAGGCAAGAAGUAAUUGAGCGUUUACAAAGCGAACAUUCAGUAGUGAUACUUGUAACAAAUAGUUUAACAAAUUAUAUGGAUAAAGUGCGACAAUUGGUAAAGGAAAAUCCUGAAAUCGAUGCGAAUACUUUUAUGCCUGAUGGUCGAUACAAUCACAUUAUGCAAGUGCAAGAAAGAUUGAAUUUUUUGCGUUUUCUUCUAAAGGAUGGACAAUUAUGGUUAUGCGCCGAUCAAGCAGAGCAGAUUUGGCAAUGUUUAGCCGAACAAGGUGUAUUUGUUUCGGAUCGUGAGGCGUGCUUUAAAUGGUUUUCCAAGCUUAUGGGAGACGAGCCAGAUCUAGAUCCAGCAAUAAACAAAGACUUUUUCCAAAAUAAUAUACUGCAAUUAGAUCCGACAUUACUUACAGAAAGCGGUAUUAAAUGUUACGAGAGAUUUUUUAAAGCUGUAAAUUCUAAGGAAGGAAAAUUGAAACUGAAACGUAGAACAUUUCUCAUGGAUGAUGUGGAUUUAAUUGGGACUGAUUAUUUGUGGAGAGUAGUAACAAAUAGUCCAGAGGAAAUUGCAAACAGAGGUAUAGAACUCUUAAAGGAAGUGAAUACCAAUUUAGGACCGCGACUACACUCGUCUGUUUUGGCAUUUCAUGAAACAUAUAUAGCGGAAUGUAUGGACAGACUGAAAGCUCAUUAUGAUACUGUGACUGUUUUAAGCAGAGUAUAUUUGGAGGGAAAAGAUGAACGCGAAGAACAAAUGACAAAUAAAAUUAAAAUGGAAGCCAUAAAAAUGUGUCGCGUUAUGAAAGUUUUGCAGGAAUAUAUAAAUGAAUGCGAUACAGCUUUCCCAGGGGAACGGAAAAUAUUACCAUUGCAUAGAGCAGCUCGUGGCAAGCAUCUGUCACUUGUCAUUCGUUUUGCGAGUCCCGGACGAAACGUCGAUGACAUAGAUAUCUUCACGCAUAGUAAUGACACAUUAGCUUCAUUGAGACGUCAGAUAUUACGUAGGAUUAAAGCAAGCGGGACGAAUGUGAAACUCGAUUUAUUUAUUAAUGGAGAUUCGCUGGAACAGUCCGAUGAUAGGAAACUCCUUUCUCAGAUUCCAUUGAGGGACAAAAUGUUGUUAUCUGCAAAGCUAAGUCAAGUAAAUAGCAAUAUGCCGAGCUCACCGGAUAGUAGCUCUGAUAGCUCUACUAGUUCCCCGCACCAUCCAUACGACGGGUUGAAUGUAGAGGCAGAGAACAGUUUGCCCGGUGUGGUUAUGUCGCAGAGAUCGCAAUACGCGACAUUCUUUUUUCAAUUGGCAGAUCUUGGCUGUUCGCUUCCACAUUCGCAAUUGCGUGAUGGUGCGCGAAAUCUCUUACAAUUGGUGCCGCCAGAUACCUAUACUGUAACAAGAUUACAAUGGUUAUUUGGUCAUUACAAAGACGACGAAGCUUUACAGAACCCCUCUCAGUAUCAUUGUAACGAGCAGAAUACGACGGUAGAUUCUCUAUUUUUUACUGCGAGUCCUAGCCAAGUUUUAUACAAUUUAGAGGUGUUGUAUACUUUGUUAAUGCCGGCUCUCGACCCUAUGUCGGACAGAGCGUUUGAAUUUCAAUAUAAUUUCAUAAAAAGUGGCGAAGCGGGCGUUAUCCUCGAUAUGCUAACCAAAAACAAAUUUUUACCAAAUGCGGAUGAAACUACGAAACGCUCGGCGUAUCUAACGGUGCUGAGACUGUGUAAACUGCUUUUGACAGUGAUGGGUAAUGUGAUGGCUUGCGUGAUGGACGAGGUUCAACAAACUGGAACUCCGGAGAAUCACGAUAAUCACGUUAACAAUCGCGGUCGAGUAGCGGUACUGAAACAGGCUCUUCAGAGUGUACCGAAUCAAAGUACCGAGUACAUGUUGAGAAGCGUAGCGGCUAAACUGGCGCAACCUCUGUCCCAUCGAAUGCUGUCUGGCGGGCCAGAAGCCGAUCGAUGUCGGCAGCUCUUUGUGCAGGCCCUUUCGUGGGAAUUACCGGAUGUGGCUACUAUACGUGCCAUAAUUAGAUUAGCGUGGGCCGCAUCCACGGGUAACUUGAACAACAUUAACGCAUCGAACGAGAUUCUUCACUCGACGCACGAGAUCAAUCAGAAAGAACAGAGAAAUCCCGAUAAUAACGAUGUUCUUGUGUGUAAGGAAGCGCUUGAAGUACUGACAAUCGCCCUUGUGUUGAAUCCAUCGGCGUUAGAAACAUUAUCGCGUGACAAAAUAUGGCAUACCUUCCUGAUAGACUUGGUGCUACUUAGUACGUCGAGGGCCAUUAGAAUUGCCGCUGGCGAACAGUUUUUUCUUAUCUCGACAUGGUGCAGUGGCGGACAUCAGACACUAUUAGUCACCAUAACUCUUCUCUUCGCCGUUUUAAAUACCAUCGUUACGGAAAACGCGAAACAGAGUCAUGAAUAUUUUCAGCUUUUGUGCCGACUAUUGAACUUUACGCAUAUGUCAGGUUGUUCUUUGGCAACCGCGGAAACGUUAUUAAACGUAGAAAUUGCCUGGUUGAAGAAAGUUCGGGACAAUAUGAAAGAAACUGGAGAAACUCAGGUAGACGAAGCCUUACUCGAGGGUCACCUCGGUCUAACCAAGGAACUGCUGGCCUUUUUGCCACCUCACCAAAAAUAUGAGAUCGGCUCCGACGAAAAGCACGGAAUUAACUUGAUCAAGGAGUUGGUCGAAGACUUUGUGUUCCCUGCGUCUCGCCUGAUGCUGCAGCUUCGUAGUACUGGCGAAUUGAGCCCAUCGCAAGCGUGUCCGGUUUGCAGCACUCCUCAAUCGACUAGCGCCGCGUUCGACUUGCUCGUAGGUCUUUGCGUAGGCUGUGUACCCAACAUGAAACUUCUAGUCACAAUGCUCACCGACAUGUUCUACUCCGAGAAGGACGAACCGUUAGCAGAAUGGGAUUAUUUACCGCCUGUGGGACAUAGGCCACUUAAAGGCUUCGUAGGCUUGAAGAAUGCGGGAGCAACUUGCUACAUGAAUUCAGUAUUACAGCAAUUGUACAUGGUGGAGAGUAUUAGAGUCGGACUUUUGGCAGCGGAGGGCGCGGCGACUGAUUUAAAUGAGGAUUUCUCGGGCGAGGAGAGGAUUGAAGGGGAGCAAACAAUCGAGACGAACGACAAUGAUACGAAUGAAGAAAAAUGCGGUGCCGAUGAAUCUAGAAAAGAAUAUAAUAUCGGUAUUUUAAAACAAGUACAAGCGAUAUUUGGUCACUUGGCUUAUAGCAAAUUACAAUAUUACAUACCUAGAGGAUUAUGGAAGCAUUUCAAGCUUCAAGGAGAACCUGUAAAUCUUAGAGAACAACAGGACGCGGUAGAAUUUUUCAUGAGUCUGGUAGAGAGUUUAGACGAGGCAUUGAAAGCCUUGGGACACGAGCAGAUAAUGGGCAAGAUUCUUGGUGGCUCGUAUAGCGACCAGAAAAUCUGCAAAGGUUGCCCUCAUAGAUAUUCCAAAGAGGAACCAUUCAGCGUGAUAAGUGUGGACAUACGGAAUCAUAGUAAUUUAUUGGAUUCUCUUGAGCAAUACGUAAAGGGUGAAUUGCUAGAAGGUGCAGACGCCUAUCAUUGUGAUAAGUGUAACAAAAAAGUCGUAACAGUGAAAAGGUUGUGCGUAAAAAAACUGCCACCCAUCUUAGCGAUUCAAUUGAAAAGAUUCGAAUAUGAUUUUGAACGCGUAUGCGCCAUAAAAUUCAACGAUUAUUUCGAGUUUCCGCGAGAUCUGGAUAUGGAACCUUAUACUGUUUCUGGUUUAGCCAAACUGGAGGGAGAAGUCAUAGAUUGUGAUUAUGAGGAAUCUGUGAAAGGAACAUGCACGAAAUAUCAAUUAACUGGCAUAGUGGUUCAUAGUGGUCAGGCUAGCGGUGGCCAUUACUACUCUUACAUCCUGCAUAGGUUAAACGAUGGUACUGCCAAGUGGUACAAGUUCGAUGAUGGCGAUGUGACGGAAUGUAAAAUGGAGGAGGAGGAAGAAAUGAAAUCUCAAUGUUUCGGCGGUGAUUAUUUAGGAGAAGUGUUUGAUCAUAUGCUCAAGCGGAUGAGUUACCGCAAACAGAAACGAUGGUGGAACGCAUACAUGUUAUUUUAUACAAGACUAGAUGUAGAAGAGAAUUCUCUAAUGAAGAGUGUAAAUGAAUUGUCAUUGUAUACGAAACUAGGAGUUAUGAAAAUGCCACCGGCAAUAGAAUAUAGCGUGCGGAAGCAGAAUAUAAAAUUUAUGCAUCAUCGAAAUCAAUUUAGUGCCGAAUACUUUCAAUUUAUCAAAAAAUUGGUAUUCUGUAAUCCACAUAAUAUUAACAGACAGAAUCUGAAUGAGAAACUUAGUCCCGAUGCGGAAGAACUUGCGAUGCUGUCGAUUCAGUUAGCAUCGAGAUUUCUCUUCUAUACAGGUUUUCACACUAAAAAAACAUUACGCGGAACGGCGACAGAUUGGUAUGACAUUAUAUGCCAUCAUUUGCGAAGCACUAAAUCAGUGCGUUCUUGGUUCGCCAAUGAAGUAUUAUUUAAUCAUCCGCAUAGAUUUUGUGAAUACCUCUUGAGUUGCCCGAGUACGGAAGUACGCACUGCUUUUCUCAAGAUUUUGGUAUUCCUUGCACACGUUUCUCUACAGGAUGGCCCAUGCGCUCCACCUAGCCUAAAUGCACCGACUAUACUCUUGGAUCCGGUAGCAACCCUCAGCGAUCAUCUGUUACACGCGGUACUAUCGUUACUGCACCGCGAAAUUUCAGAUCACGGGCGUCAUCUUCCUCAUUAUUUUUCCCUCUUUCACGCCUACGCUUCACUCGGCCUUGCCGAGAAGGCGCAAUUGCUUAAGCUGAAUGUCCCAGUUACAUUCAUGUUGGUUGCCAUUGAUGAAGGACCGGGUCCUACUAUAAAGUAUCAGUAUCCCGAAUUGACUAAAUUGCAUCAAGUGGUAAGCAUGUUGAUACGGUGCUGCGAUGUGUCGUCGAAAGCGCAUUCGAGUCAGACGCAAACCCGUGCAGAACCCUUACCAAAUCCGUACGGAGAUCCCGCGUGUCAAUCAGAAUAUCUUAUGCCCAUCCAACCGCAAGCAGCUGAUAUAUUAUUUGUCCGUACUAGUUACAUCAAAAAAUUGAUCGAAGACGCUAAUGUGACUGAAGACACUAUCAAAUUAUUGCAAUAUUGUUGUUGGGAGAAUCCACACUUAUCGCGAACGGUGCUUAGUGAACUACUGUGGCAAAUAGGUUUUGCAUAUACUCAUGAGUUGAGGCAUCACACAGAUCUGCUACUUACGAUAUUAUUAAUGGAAGAUUCGUGGCAGACACAUCGCGUGCACAAUGCGCUCAAGGGAGUUCCUGAUGAGCGAGAAGGUUUAUUCGAAACGAUCCAAAGAAGUAAAAACCAUUAUCAAAAGAGGGCUUACCAAUGUAUUAAAUGCAUGGUACAACUUUUUAGUAAAUGUAGACCUGCCCAUCAGCUUUUACAUCAUAGUCCAGAACUAAAAAGAAAAUGGAGUCAUGCCAUAGAUUGGCUCCAUGACGAACUCGACAAAAGACCAUAUGCCUCCACGGCGCCUUAUACACAUGCGUACAAUAACUGGUCUCCGCCAGCACAAUCCAAUGAUUCUGCGAAUGGGUAUGUCCUGGAACGUAGCAAUAGCGCCAGAAAGACAUUGGAGCGAGCGUGCGAAUUAUGUCCCGAUGAUGAGCCAGAAGUUGAAGACACGAGCGAGGAUUGCGCGGAAGAAUCUGAUAAAUGUGUGUUGCAGAAUAUCAAUUCAUAUAGAAUGAAUAUUUUUCCCGAAGCAAAAUAUUCCGAAUCAACAAAACAUUCAUUCCAUUCAACAAAAUAUUCAUCAUUUAAAAGGCGUAAUAACAGAGCCUUAGGAUGGGCAUCUAUGGAUUAUCCCGAUUUUACCGUAAUUCAACAAAUGCAAGAAGAACAACAGCCCCAACCAGGACCUUCUCCAGUACACACACCCCACUUAGCGCUUCAAAUGCAUAAUCCGCAAAACUGUGAGUCGUCACAAAAUACCAGUCAGGAUCCAUAAUGAAUGUUGAACACUGAUGUUCUACCAAGUUGCUGCCUCAGUGAAAUGAUUUCAGAAUACUUAGAUAUUAUAACUGCGCCAGAAGCUUGGUGGCGAACAGUAGCAGCAUAUGUACAGAUAUAACAAGUGAGGGUUUGUCUUUUUUUAGUGACCUUUAAUAAAUUCGUGCUAAUCUCUUAGUUUCAUUGUGGGUAGUUAUUUUGAUAAUGUGACGCGCUAUAAAUGUUCGAAUCGCAAAUGAAGAAACGAAAUGGGAAACGAUUCUGACUGAGAACUGAAUUAACGCAUGCUGGUUGAGGCAAUCAAUUCUCAACAAGGUUUUUUCCUCCUUAAUCUUGACAUUGUUCAUCAUUCUGUUUGUGUCUCCCGACAACUGUUUGGCUUCCAAUUCUAGAAGUGACGAUUUGACAAAGGAAAAGAAAUAUAUAAAGAUGCGCGCGCUUUCUCUCACUCUCUCUCUUUCUCUUUCUCUCUCUCUUUGAGGGAGUUUGAUAAAACUACAGUACAGCUAAGAGUUUUAUUAAAACUACAGCUAAGAGUUUCAUUUGCCUCGAUUAAUGCAUGUCGAUUCAAGCUUAAUGAAUACCAUAAGAUUGUAUAAAUGUAUAGCAUAGUGUUACGAAUCCCAUUCUCUGCCGAUUAGAAAACAAGAGUAUAAACCAUAAUUUUCCGUAUGCCUAUGUAAAUUUGUUAUUAAUACAAAGAAAAGUUGAAAUAGAACUUUCUAAUGAUCGAAAGAUACAAUUACAAAAAAAUAAAAAAGAGAGAAACGAGCUAGUAUAUUCUCAUCUUAUUCAAAGAAAGCACAGUUUUCACGAAGCUAUGCUCUAACAUAUGUAUGUAUGUGUAUACAUAUAUAUAUGCAUAUAUACAUAUAUUUUGUAUGUAUGUAUGUAUGUAUGUAUGUAUUUAUGUGCAUAUAGUUAUGUGCUAUAUAUGUAUAACAUAGCUUUUGCUAUUUAAUCUUUUAAUAACAAUAAAAGAAUUCUUCUUGUACUUAACAAACUCGAGCAUUCUGGAAGAAAGACACUUAUCUGGCGGCCUGCCGUGCUGCUAAAAUUUCAACAAAUGCCAAUGAUGCCUCCUGUUGUGCUUUCUUUCAGUUCGACCGAUUUGAAAGAGUUGUGCCUUCGACAUUGUGCGACUCCAUUGUACUUUUAGGUAGAUAUUUAAGAAUCAAGUUGUUGCUUCAAAUUUAAUUGCUUAUACUUCGCUUGUUGAGUUGACUAUGAAAAAGAAAGGGGAAAAAAAACUAGAAGUUUAUCAGGAAAUUUGCGUGAGACUCGAUAUAAUAUUUAUCGAGAGAUUAAUGCAAUCGUUAAAACGUAUUUCAGAACCUGAAACGUAAUUGCUGCGGGCCAUUUUAAUUUAUCAUGACGCACGCAUAUACGUUAAUAAAUACGAUAUCGAGUUAUCCAAAGGAUAAUCGUUUAAGAAUGAAAACAUUGUCCUAAUUCGCAGCGCAAAUUUUUACGAAGAAAAGGAAUUGAAAAAACCCGUGACGCAAGUAAUAAAACGCAAAGAGGAUAUGGAGCAAACAAAUAGCUAGUUUGUAUCGUUGUAUGGUACGACCUAUAUCGUUGAUAGGACGAUGUGAUCUUUUCGCAAAAAUUGCGAAAAUGAUCAUCAUUUUGAUAAAAUCGUCCGGCAUACUACAAGAGUAACAGAAAAGUAUUCUACGAGAAAGAAUAAGAAAUAUAAACACACGGAGAACGACAAAGUGACGAACGAUCUUUGAAUUUAUCAACUGGCCAUUGCUCUGACUUAUUGAAUAAAGAAAGGAACGUGUGUGUGUAUUAUAUAUAGAAUAUUAUAAAAAUAAUCUUAAAAGAAGAAAAAAAGAGAAUUAAAAUCACAUGUAACGUGGAAAUAAACAAGCAGUGUGUAUAAUAAGAUUUCGUGCGAAAAACCAACGACUAUGUCAAGACACCAGGAAAUAAUGAAACGUAUUGAUUAUUAUUGUUCGUAUUUAUCGAAUAACCGAGUUAAACACAGUGUACCAAAUUAUAUAAUAGCUUCUAUUAGUUAAAAAUAAUAAUGGUACCUAAUCUUACUCAGACAUGUACAUAUAUAGACAUUACACAGACAACCGCUUUUUAUAUGUGAUAAAAAAAUUAUUAUAUUCCUAUUAUAUAUACAUUGAGAUUUAAAAAAAACGCUAUUGUAAAUCCUGGUUUUUGUACACAGACUGUAUGCUAAGUUCAAUUUUGUUAACACGAGAUGUAGUCUAAUUAUUUAAUAUUUAAUUUUAUCCCUGCUAAAUAAUAAGCGAGUAUAAUAUCGUGUAUAAAAGAUAUUUCAUUUUCUUCUUUUUUUUUUAAUUAUUCGAGAGAUUCACAAAAACUGGAAGUGUCAUGAUACUAGUGUCAUUUAUCUUAUGCGUGGUAAUAGAAAUAAGGGAGACAAGCUGUGUACGAUAGCCGAGCGCGUAUUAUAUACGUAAUAUAAGAUCGGAAUCGUCGUUUUUUUGCCAUCAGAUGAGAUAGCGCUCGGCGUUGUAAUAUAAAAAAAAAGAAGGAGGAAGAGAGAUACGCAAGGGACAGUAGAGAUUGCGACGGAAUGUCAUUUUCCUGCGUACAUAUAUCAUUUAAGAUUAGUGUAAUUUCACUGAAUAUAGAUUUCGAGGAUGCUACAGACACAAAGCGAAAAAUCGCCUCUUGUAUUUUUGCGAAAAUAAUGAAACGUAUUUAUAUUGGAAAUUUGAACUCACCGAAAUUAUACUGAUUCCUACAAUGCUUGUGUACGUAAUAAAGUAAAGGGAGGAGAGGAACGAAAGAAAGGAUUGUGCACCAAUUUUAUGGUAUGCGUGAUCCCAUCUCGCAGAUAUAAUUGACGAAGCAUAAAAUUUAUUAAUUACGUUAUUGUUCAUAUGUGUAUUAACACGGCGCACUGUGACUUUACGUUCGUUUUCGAGAGUCAUCGGAUAAAAGUCAAAAAGUUCAAAGGCAAAUGCGUGGAUUGAGCCGAAGACUAAUGGAAGAAUAGUGUGGUCGUUGUUUUUAAGACCACGCGUUUGCUCGUAUAAAGCUAAUUUUCAUAAACAGAAAAAAAAACAAAGAAUCUGUCUCAUCGACGUUUCUUUAGUUUUAGUUUUAAAGGUAAUUUUAUUUGUAUUUAGCGCGAAUAACGCUCUAGUCAAUAAAAUUACAAAUAAAGAAAAAGAUUUAGUAAUUUCAUUCACAUUUAAUAUCAUCUGUGGGAUGUUCGCGAAGCGUCCUAUAAGAUUAGUAAGAAAAAUAAAAUUAACACCGCGAAAAAAAAUUAUACUCUGUCGUCAUUGUCAUUAAUUUUUUCAUUAACGUACUGAACCGCGAACGUUUCUGCAGAUUUUGAUGCGUUCUCUGUAUUUUCUCAUUUGCCUUUGACAUGUGAGCGACUCGUCAUUUGUAAACUACCUCGACUACUUGCAAGCAGUCAAUAUAUAUUUACGCUAUGCUUUGUUUUAGCAAUACCGCUUUGUGGAAGAGACACGAUCGCGAGCGCUGGUGCAUUGAGUGCACUUUCUUUUCUCAAUUCAUUCUGUUGAAAAAUAUUUCCAUAUUAAAAUCUAUUCGAACAGAAUUUGUUUAAAUUUUUUCGUCAUAUUUAAUAAAAUUCCAUUUGAAUGUUUUAAAGAAAAUAAAAAGGGACAUGUCAUUUUCUUUUGGACAUUAAACAUUGAACAAUAUUACUUUAUGCACUAGCGUGAUCGUUCGAAUCGUCAUAAUAUCGCUUACGAAACUAUUUAAUUAGUUACCAUCUAAGGAACACGAAUUUGUCAAACAGCGUUGGUCACGAGAUUGCGUUCAGGCUAAUGAUUAGAAUUCACUGAAGUGAUACGGGUUUUAAACUUAGACAUGAAUCCUGAUGCACGAUCCUCGGGUCAGUCUGUGUUUCGUAAACAUAAUCCUUACCAAAGUUAAAUACGAGAUGCAUAUGUUUUCGCACUUUUAUUCGCAUGCUGUACAUUUAACAUUUGCAUAAACAUCUUUUUAUACGCUCGUAGAUUUUUUAAAGACGAGUGCAGAUCAUGAUUGCGCUUUCAACUGAAAAUACGUUAAUUAAUUUAUCUCUUUCGUUGCAUUUAAUAAAUGCUAAGUAUUUUUAUUCCAAGCUGUUUUUGAUCGUGUAUCUUUGAAAGUUUUAAGAGCGAAAGGAAAGUAAAACAAAAACUUACAUCGAAAAGAGAAAAACUUUAAUCAAGAUUACACAAUAUUCUCAAAAUGAGAGGAGCUCUAAAAAAGGGCUGGUUGAUUUGAUCACACAUAUAUACACACACAAUAUUCCCAACUAUAUAUAUAUAUCUUUUUUUAUCCAAAAGUUCCAUUUAAUAUCAUCAAUUUUGAAAUAUAUGAUCAAAAUAUAUCUCCUAUUUUGAGGCGAUUGUGUUCUAUUAAUGCGUGAAAUAUUACACAAUUUAUGUUCGUGCAUAUAUAUGUGUAACAGGUUUGUCCCGUUGCAUGUGUGUGUCUCUAGUUUCUACGCUUUCUUCACACGAUACCAAAUACGCAUAAUGUGUUUUUGAAGAAAGAGAAUGAGUGAGAGAAUGAAUGAAAGCGAGAGAGAAAGAGAGAGAUGAAGAGAGAUACAAUAAAAGUGUAGAAACAUGUGCGACACGAAUAAAAAAAUUAAACCGAAUAAUUUAUUGUCUCGGACUCUCUUUUGAGUUUGAAUCGUGUCAUGGCGAAAGAGUUAAAGAGUAAAAUCUACGUGAAUCGAGCGUGCAAUUAAUAUAAAUGCCAUUGCGCUAUUAUUUUCACCGUAGCAUCAAUUAAUCGCGAUACGAUAAAGAGCUAGGGAAAUAAUUAUCUAUUAUACAUGGUAUACAUUAAGAAGCUUCUAGUUUCCGUAUACUGUUAUUUAACAUUUGCCCCAGCGAAACUUUGGAAAUUGUCAUUCCGUUCAAUUUAAUACUACGUGAAACCUGAAUUAGACGCAAAAUAUAUAAGAAAAAUGAUAAUGUGUAUACAGAACGUGAUUAUUAAGAUGGAACGCUUUCAUUGAAGGGACGCCAAUAACCGAUAAACAAUUUCGACGGCACGUUAAUAAUGCUAGAUUUAACAGAAAGGAAAAAAGGCCCGAUUCGAAGCCUCCACUUAUGAUAUGACAUUUAUAAUAUUGGAAUUUGGUUGGAUAGAUGUUAGCAAUUAAAGAGAGAAUUUUUGCGCUUAGACAAGAUACGGGAGGACAAAUGCACAUAAAUGUAAGGAAUUAUGCAGGAUUAUUAACGUGUUUACUGUCCACACGACACACGAACGUGUCCUGUGAAUAUGUCAUAUGGACGCAUACGAUUCAUGGACGUAUCGCUGAUAAUGUUACCUAUACGUUUAUGAUCACGUAUGUAUUAUUAAUCAAUCUCCGAAAUAAAAACCUUUUUUAGUCAAAUACAAAACUCAAGAUAGAGACUGUGUGAUUGGUAUUCGAGUAAAAAAAACAUAAUGAAUGCGGUGGGCUGUGUAGAGAGCUAAAAUAGAUGGACAGUAAAUGUGUUAAGGAUACGUCGCGUGCGAUAGCGAGAAUGACAAUGCUAUCAAAACUUAAGAAAAUGAAGUAAAUGUAAAAUUAACGCAGAUAGUCGCAAAGUCGCCGGAGAAUGUCCACUACACUUUUGGACGUUUUUCAAACGUCUCUUGGACGAUUUUUGGACUUCUGUGUUGUUUAGGAUGUUAAAGUAAAGACAGAAUACGCUGACAGGCAAUGCGAUUUUCGAUCGUUUUCGAAUCGACUCAUUUCCCAUCCGAUUUAUUUGUAACAGAUGAGAGAAAUAUAGCAUAAACAGAUCGAGAAAAAUGUGAAAAGGAAAGAUCUGUUAAUUUGCGAACUUUCGGCUCGAGUACCUAUACAAUAAUAAAUAAAUAUCACGGAUAAAUAUAGGUCAAUGUAUUUCGACGAAAGAAAUUUCACGCACUGUUAGUUUAAAUUGUUGUAAUAGAAAACACGAAGAAAAAUGACAAGACUUUUCGAAACAAUUUUCGCGACAGAUUUUUAAGGAGGAGAUGAACGUUGCAAGCAUGCUGGCGUGCGCGCGUGGUCGCUGGGUGACUUCAAAUGAAAAAAAAAAAUGCACAUACACACGGCAUAUAUAAACACACGUAUGUACACACACACGUAAAUACAUGAACACGGGGGGUUGCGGGCGACGGUUUGCCAAUUUUCGCGGGGAGCUUUCACGAACGAGCAAUACCCGCACGUGUGUCCUGCGUGUUACGCAGUAAGGAGACCUCUGCUGCCUGCGGAAUCUUUUGUGUAUUAUUUCUAACAGAAUGUAAUAAAGUAAAGUUUAAACAGA